RNAcentral lists this ribosomal RNA (253 nucleotides) under uncultured bacterium. RNAcentral describes it as "partial 16S ribosomal RNA". It matches the Rfam family "Bacterial small subunit ribosomal RNA", at positions 524 to 776 of the family's 1533-position model. The record is from RNAcentral.
UACGUAGGCAGCAAGCGUUGUUCGGAAUUACUGGGCGUAAAGCGUGUGUAGGCGGUGCUCUAAGUUCGGUGUGAAAUCUCCCGGCUUAACUGGGAGGGUGCGCCGGAAACUGGAGUGCUCGAGCGUGGGAGAGGAAAGCGGAAUUCCUGGUGUAGCGGUGAAAUGCGUAGAUAUCAGGAGGAACACCGGUGGUGUAGACGGCUUUCUGGACCAUAGCUGACGCUGAGACACGAAAGCGUGGGUAGCAAACAGG